CUACGGGUUGCAGCAGUGGGGAAUAUUGGACAAUGGGCGCAAGCCUGAUCCAGCAAUGCCGCGUGAGUGAAGACGGCCUUAGGGUUGUAAAACUCUUUCGCUAGGGAAGAUAAUGACUGUACCUAGUAAAGAAGUCCCGGCUAACUCCGUGCCAGCAGCCGCGGUAAUACGGAGGGGACUAGCGUUGUUCGGAAUUACUGGGCGUAAAGAGUUCGUAGGCGGACUGACAAGUUAGAGGCGAAAUCCCAGGGCUCAACCCUGGAACUGCCUUUAAAACUGUCAGUCUAGAGACCGGAAGAGGUUAGGGGAAUACCUAGUGUAGAGGUGAAAUUCGUAGAUAUUAGGUGGAACACCAGUGGCGAAGGCGCCUAACUGGUCCGGUACUGACGCUGAGGAACGAAAGCGUGGGGAGCAAACAGGAUUAGAUACCCUUGUAGUC
Molecule: ribosomal RNA, 439 nt
Filed under: uncultured bacterium
Lineage: Bacteria
Description: partial 16S ribosomal RNA
Rfam family: Bacterial small subunit ribosomal RNA
Source: RNAcentral